CAUCUCCCUCCCUCCCUCUCUCACUUCUCCAUUAUCACACAACUCUCUCUUUCUCCCUCUCUCUCUCAAUCUCUCAGUUUCAAACUCAAAGACAAUUCCAAGCAUCUCUCUUGGGCUCCAAGCAGGAGGGGAAGCCAAUCUUUUUGAGGGGAAUGUUGUCUGGCUCGAGGCCGCGAACCGUAGAUCCGCCAAUUUUUCCUCUCCAAUUGGAUCAAUUGUUCUCUAGAUCGUCGCAUCGGUCACCGAUCUAGCGUUAGCGGCGUCGGACCAGGCUUCAUUCCCCCCAAUUAUUGCUCUUCCAAUCUUCAAGAACGUCUCGGUGCCUGAGGUGCGAGAGUUUUGAGUAUGAUCCUCUCCCUCUCUCAAAAAGAUUCUCACGCCCGCGCGCACUCCAUAGUUUUGUGAGCAGAUGGGAGACAAGAGGCAAAACAUCUAAUCGAUACAAAGUGGUGAAAAGAAGACGAGGGUCUUGUUCUGCGUGGUAAGAAAGAAAACGAGGAAUUGGUAAGAGUGUAUGUAUGUACAUUGAAUAGGAGGGGAAAGAAGAGGUGCGCACACUCCAUACUUUCUUGAUCAGACGGCAGAUGAGAGACAAAACAUCUAAUCGAUACAAAGUGGUGAAAAGAAGACGAGGGUCUUCUUCUGCAUGGUAAGAAAGAAAUGAGGAAUUGGAGAGAGCGUAUGUAUGUACAUUGAAUUGUGAAAAAGGGGGGAAAGAAGAGGUUCACGGUCUGAACUCGACAUGAAACAGAAGUAGCAAUUCAUGGCUCAUAGAAAAGUGAAUCCACAAAGCCUUUAUCUUUUAA
Long non-coding RNA from Eucalyptus grandis, 806 nucleotides. RefSeq lists it as uncharacterized. The transcript has 2 exons. The record is from RefSeq and is a predicted model, not a curated record. NCBI's taxonomy places the organism in Eukaryota, Viridiplantae, Streptophyta, Magnoliopsida, Myrtales, Myrtaceae.